Molecule: ribosomal RNA, 480 nt
Filed under: uncultured bacterium
Lineage: Bacteria
Description: partial 16S ribosomal RNA
Rfam family: Bacterial small subunit ribosomal RNA
Source: RNAcentral
GAUGAACGCUGGCGGCGUGCUUAACACAUGCAAGUCGAACGAAGCAUUUAAGACAGAUUACUUCGGUUUGAAGUCUUUUAUGACUGAGUGGCGGACGGGUGAGUAACGCGUGGGUAACCUGCCUCAUACAGGGGGUAGCAACUGGAAAACGGCGGUUAAUACGCAAUAGCCCACAAUAACACCUGGUACCGUGUGAAAAACUCCGGUGGGAUGAGAUGGACCCGCGUCUGAUUAGCUUGUUGGCGGGGUAACGGCCCACCAAGGCGACGAUCAGUAGCCGACCUGAGAGGGUGACCGGCCACAUUGGGACUGAGACACGGCCCAGACUCCUACGGGAGGCAGCAGUGGGGAAUAUUGCACAAUGGAGGAAACUCUGAUGCAGCGACGCCGCGUGAGUGAAGAAGUAGUUCGCUAUGUAAAGCUCUAUCAGCAGGGAAGAUAGUGACGGUACCUGACUAAGAAGCUCCGGCUAAAUACGUG